RNAcentral lists this transfer RNA (72 nucleotides) under Channa aurantimaculata (orangespotted snakehead). Its description in RNAcentral is "tRNA-Thr". It matches the Rfam family "tRNA". From Rfam's summary of the family: Transfer RNA (tRNA) molecules are approximately 80 nucleotides in length. Their secondary structure includes four short double-helical elements and three loops (D, anti-codon, and T loops). The record is from RNAcentral. Lineage: Eukaryota; Metazoa; Chordata; Actinopteri; Anabantiformes; Channidae.
GCCUUGGUAGCUCAGCAUCAGAGCACCGGUUUUGUAAGCCGGCGGUCGGAGGCUAGAAUCCUCCCCAACGCU